ACCGCGCGAAAUACAAAUUUUGUGUCAGUUUCAGUGAUUUAAUUCUCAAAAACGAGUCUGUUUAAGUCCGCGCUGUGUAUCUGCUUAAAGAUAAAGUUCCUGCCACAUGUGUUAUUGAGUCAGAACUUAUUAAAGGACAAGAAUCUGACGACGGAAAAUCUCAUCAACGGCUAAACUGUUACCUGGAAAGUGAGAAAUGGAUAAAAAGACGUUGGUGAAGCGGCGCCCUGCUAAACCCUGAAGUUCGAUGGAAAAUGACCACAUGUCAAGGAGGGCUGCUGAGGUUCAGAGAGUCUCAGUGUCCGACAGAAAAGACCCGGGACUAUGAUGUAAAAGAGAAAAUUACAAGGAGGCCUGGAUCUCGGAAACUUAAAUAACUAGUGAAUCAGACGGGCCAUGCCAAUCCAUCUUAAGGCAGUCUGAGCUACUAAAAUAAUGAAAUUAAAAAGAGAGAAGAUCUGUCUGCGUCAGUGCUUUAGUGCAGAUGAAGGUGGCCGAACAGAUUUUCCCCAUGAAGGAGGUCCAGAAAGUGUACUUCACCAGCAAAUUCAACAAUGUGGACAAGCUAGGAAAACAAGAGGUGUAAUUCAUGUCACAAUUCACACCCCCACACACACUCAGACAUAGGACACAUCCAAGCACCCAAUACUGCCAUAAUUAAAUGCAUAAGGAAUGCUUAUGAAUUCGAUUUCUCAUUAUGUAUGUAUAGAGUUUAUAUAUACUGUAGAUUUAUACCACAAUACAUUAUUCAGUUAUAUAAUUGUAUAUAUUACAGUAUAAUAAAAUUAUAUUAUUGUAUAAUUACCAUCGUAAAAUAAAUUAUUAAGUGUAAUAUAAUUAUGUUAUUAUAUAACAAAUACAAUCUAUUACCAUUAUUUUUUAUAUUACUAUUAUUUUAAUGCAUUUAACAUUACAUUAUAGAAUGCCAAGUUGGUACAUGUGUUAUCAGUUUACCAUUUAGAAGGAAUCCUUACCAGUUGUUUUUGUGCGUGUUUGAAAUUAUACCGUUGCUGAAUAAAUGGAGUU
Long non-coding RNA from Trichomycterus rosablanca, 1026 nucleotides. RefSeq lists it as uncharacterized. The record is from RefSeq and is a predicted model, not a curated record. NCBI's taxonomy places the organism in Eukaryota, Metazoa, Chordata, Actinopteri, Siluriformes, Trichomycteridae. The transcript has 5 exons.